UGCAGUCGACGAUGAAGCCGCAGCUUGCUGUGGUGGAUUAGUGGCGAACGGGUGAGUAACACGUGAGUAACCUGCCCUUCACUCUGGGAUAAGCCUUGGAAACGAGGUCUAAUACUGGAUAUUCAUUCAUGAUCGCAUGGUUGUGGGUGGAAAGAUUUUUUGGUGAGGGAUGGACUCGCGGCCUAUCAGCUUGUUGGUGAGGUAGUGGCUUACCAAGGCUUUGACGGGUAGCCGGCCUGAGAGGGUGACCGGCCACACUGGGACUGAGACACGGCCCAGACUCCUACGGGAGGCAGCAGUGGGGAAUAUUGCACAAUGGGCGAAAGCCUGAUGCAGCGACGCCGCGUGAGGGAUGAAGGCCUUCGGGUUGUAAACCUCUUUCACCAGGGACGAAGCGAAAGUGACGGUACCUGGAGAAGAAGCACCGGCUAACUACGUGCCAGCAGCCGCGGUAAUACGUAGGGUGCGAGCGUUGUCCGGAAUUAUUGGGCGUAAAGAGCUUGUAGGCGGUUUGUCGCGUCUGCUGUGAAAGACCGGGGCUUAACUCCGGUUCUGCAGUGGGUACGGGCAGGCUAGAGUAUGGUAGGGGAGACUGGAAUUCCUGGUGUAGCGGUGAAAUGCGCAGAUAUCAGGAGGAACACCGAUGGCGAAGGCAGGUCUCUGGGCCAUUACUGACGCUGAGAAGCGAAAGCAUGGGGAGCGAACAGGAUUAGAUACCCUGGUAGUCCAUGCCGUAAACGUUGGGCGCUAGGUGUGGGACUCAUUCCACGAGUUCCGUGCCGCAGCUAACGCAUU
RNAcentral lists this ribosomal RNA (795 nucleotides) under Dermacoccus sp. cb8. RNAcentral's name for it is "bacterial SSU rRNA". It matches the Rfam family "Bacterial small subunit ribosomal RNA", at positions 56 to 861 of the family's 1533-position model. Lineage: Bacteria; Bacillati; Actinomycetota; Actinomycetes; Micrococcales; Dermacoccaceae. The record is from RNAcentral.